AACGCACAUUGCGCCCCUUGGUAUUCCGAGGGGCAUGCCUGUUCGAGCGUCAUUAUAACCACUCAAGCCUGGCUUGGUAUUGGGGUCCGCGGUCUCGCGGCCCUUAAAAUCAGUGGCGGUGCCAUCUGGCUCUAAGCGUAGUAAUUUUUCUCGCUACAGGGUCUGGUGGUUACUUGCCAUUAACCCCCCAUUUUCUAAGGUUGACCUCGGAUCAGGUAGGGAUACCCGCUGAACUUAA
This 238-nucleotide unclassified non-coding RNA is filed under the name uncultured fungus. RNAcentral describes it as "sequence contains ITS2". The stretch from base 1 to 52 matches the Rfam family "5.8S ribosomal RNA", at positions 103 to 154 of the family's 154-position model. Lineage: Eukaryota; Fungi. The record is from RNAcentral.